GUUUGAGCCCUUGGAAACCAUACCGGAUAAAAUCCUGAGCUUGAAGACAGUUCUUCUUAUGGCUUUAUCCUCCCUCAAGAGAGUUGGGGAUUUACAGGCUCUUUCUGUUUCGCCGUCGUGCAUGGACUUUGCACCGGGCUCUGUGAAGGUAUUGCUGCGACCGAGGCCUAAUUAUGUCCCUAAGGUCGAUUCGAACCCCUUUCGUUUUCAGCAGGUGGUCUUGGAGGCUUUACCCCCUGCUGAGACAGGAUCAGGAGAUCUAAGUCUUUGCCCUGUCAGAGCGCUCAAGACUUAUGUCGAUCGAACAGCCCCAUGGCGUGAGUCCGACCAGCUGUUUGUCUGUUUUGGACACAAGAAUAGAGGCCAUGCUGUCACGAAGCAACGCAUGUCCCAUUGGUUGGUGGAGGCAAUAUCUUUAGCCUAUGAGGCGUGCGGUCUUGCUUCGCCUCUAGGAGUUAGAGCUCAUUCCACUAGAGCAGUUGCUUCUUCUCAGGCUGUCCUCAGUGGAUCUUCUAUGACUGAUAUCUGUGCUGCGGCAGGAUGGUCCUCACCGAACACUUUUAUCAAGUUUUACAGUCUGGAUGUAAGGACGGCUCCUGGCUCCCGGGUUCUCUCCGCUUGAGCAGAUGCUUCCUUGGAUCCCAGCUAUCAGAAAAGCCUGACAUCACCACCCAUUUUUACAGUAAACCAGAACUCAUAAUUACCGUCUGUAAUCUGGGAAUUUUCUGAGAGCUUCUACUUUUAUCACGUGACUCUACGCACAGUCCCCGGUCCAAGGACAUGAACAGCUCUAAGUAGAACAUGGAUGCAGCUGACGAGACAGACUCCAGUAAGAGUCCUCAGCGUUGAUCAGGCAAGUCCACAUCUAACCCAUCUAGAGUGGGAAUCUUCUUGGAAGAAAACUUUGUAAUGGAUGAAUCGACCAAUCUCAGGCCUUCUAUGUCCACUUUUUCAGACUGAUUUAUGCCCUCCACCUGGACUAAGUGUUUGAAAAGCACUUUAUAUUUUAUUCAGCAGAGUACUAUCAUCUCUACAGUUUUGAGCGUGUUCAGCUCCAGGUUGUUAAGACUGCACCAGACAGCCAGCUGCUCAACCUCUUGUCGGUGAGCAGACUCAUCUCCGUCCUGGAUGAGGCCGAUGAGUGUGGCGUCAUCUGCAACUUCAGGAGUUUGACAGAGGGGUCAGUAGAGGUGCAUUCAUUUGUGUAGUGGCAG
Molecule: long non-coding RNA, 1214 nt
Organism: Cyprinus carpio carpio
Lineage: Eukaryota; Metazoa; Chordata; Actinopteri; Cypriniformes; Cyprinidae
Source: Ensembl